UACGAAGGGGGCUAGCGUUGUUCGGAAUCACUGGGCGUAAAGCGCGUGUAGGCGGAUGUGUUAGUCAGGUGUGAAAUCCCGAGGCUCAACCUCGGAACUGCCUUCGAAACUGCAGGGCUCGAGUCCGGGAGAGGAGGGCGGAAUUCCCGGUGUAGGGGUGAAAUCCGUAGAUAUCGGGAGGAACACCAGUGGCGAAGGCGGCCAUCUGGUCGGUGACUGACGCUGAGACGCGAAAGCGUGGGGAGCAAACAGG
This 253-nucleotide ribosomal RNA is filed under the name uncultured bacterium. RNAcentral's name for it is "partial 16S ribosomal RNA". It matches the Rfam family "Bacterial small subunit ribosomal RNA", at positions 524 to 776 of the family's 1533-position model. The record is from RNAcentral.